Molecule: ribosomal RNA, 253 nt
Filed under: uncultured bacterium
Lineage: Bacteria
Description: partial 16S ribosomal RNA
Rfam family: Bacterial small subunit ribosomal RNA
Source: RNAcentral
UACGGAGGGGGCCAGCGUUGUUCGGAAUUAUUGGGCGUAAAGGGCGCGUAGGCGGUUUGGUAAGUCAGUCGUGAAAUCCCUCGGCUCAACCGAGGAAUGGCGUCUGAUACUGCCGAACUAGAGUCCCGGAGAGGGUAGCGGAAUUCCCAGUGUAGCGGUGAAAUGCGUAGAUAUUGGGAGGAACACCAGUGGCGAAGGCGGCUACCUGGACGGGUACUGACGCUGAUGCGCGAAAGCGUGGGGAGCAAACAGG